Molecule: ribosomal RNA, 505 nt
Filed under: uncultured bacterium
Lineage: Bacteria
Description: partial 16S ribosomal RNA
Rfam family: Bacterial small subunit ribosomal RNA
Source: RNAcentral
GACGAACGCUGGCGGCGUGCCUAAUACAUGCAAGUAGAACGCACAGUUUAUACCGUAGCUUGCUACACCAUAGACUGUGAGUUGCGAACGGGUGAGUAACGCGUAGGUAACCUGCCUGGUAGCGGGGGAUAACUAUUGGAAACGAUAGCUAAUACCGCAUAAUAUUAAUUAUUGCAUGAUAAUUAAUUGAAAGGUGCAAUUGCACCACUACCAGAUGGACCUGCGUUGUAUUAGCUAGUAGGUGAGGUAACGGCUCACCUAGGCGACGAUACAUAGCCGACCUGAGAGGGUGAUCGGCCACACUGGGACUGAGACACGGCCCAGACUCCUACGGGAGGCAGCAGUAGGGAAUCCUCGGCAAUGGACGAAAGUCUGACCGAGCAACGCCGCGUGAGUGAAGAAGGGUUUCGGAUCGUAAAGCUCUGUUGUAAGAGAAGAACGGGUGUGAGAGUGGAAAGUUCACACUGUGACGGUAGCUUACCAGAAAGGGACGGCUAACUACGUG